RNAcentral lists this ribosomal RNA (779 nucleotides) under Epilachna fulvohirta. Its description in RNAcentral is "partial 16S ribosomal RNA". The stretch from base 1 to 577 matches the Rfam family "Archaeal large subunit ribosomal RNA", at positions 1911 to 2987 of the family's 2987-position model. The record is from RNAcentral. Lineage: Eukaryota; Metazoa; Arthropoda; Insecta; Coleoptera; Coccinellidae.
CUCUUUUUGAAUAUAAUUUAAAGUAGGGCCUGCCCACUGAAAUUAUUGAAGGGCCGCAGUAUUUUGACUGUGCAAAGGUAGCAUAAUCAUUAGUUUUUUAAUUGAAAGCUUGUAUGAAUGGUUUGAUGAAAAAAUUUCUGUUUCUAUUUAAAUUUAUAGAAUUUUAUAUUUAAGUUAAAAAGCUUAAAUAAUUUUUAAAGACGAGAAGACCCUAUAGAGUUUAACUAAAUUUAAUUUUUAAAAUCAAAGAAUUUAAAUUUUUAAAUUUUAAAUAAGUUUUGUUGGGGUGACAAAAAAAUUAAAUUAACUUUUUUUUUAUUACUACAAUAAUUUUUGAUUAAUUGAUCCAUGAAAAUGAUUAUAAGAUUAAAUUACCUUAGGGAUAACAGCGUAAUCUUUUUUGAAAGUUCAAAUUGAAAAAAGGGGUUGCGACCUCGAUGUUGGAUUAAAAUUAAUUUUCGGUGAAGAAGCUGAAUAAUUAGGUCUGUUCGACCUUUAAAAUUUUACAUGAUCUGAGUUUAAACCGGUGUAAGCCAGGUUGGUUUCUAUCUUAAAAUAAAGAAAAUAUUUUAGUACGAAAGGAUCAAAUAUUUUAUUUAGAAUAUUUUAAUUGAAUAGAAUUUUUAUUUUGGCAGAUUAGUGCAAGAGAUUUAGAAUCUUUAUAUGUAAUUAUUACAAAUAAAAAUUGAUUUAUUUUUAAUAUUAAUGAAUUUUUUAAUUUUAUUCGUAGGGGUUUUAGUUGGGGUGGCUUUUUUAACAUUAUUAGAGCGUAAACUUUU